AAUCAACGCUGGCGGCGUGCCUAACACAUGCAAGUCGAACGGGAAAGUGGAGCAAUCCAUGAGUAUAGUGGCGACCGGGUGAGUAACACGUGACUAACCUACCUUCAAGUGGGGGAUAACCUCGGGAAACCGGGGCUAAUACCGCAUAAAAUCUCUGUUAUGAGAAAGCAGGGAUCAAAGGAGCAAUUCGCUGGAAGAGGGGGUCGCGGCUGAUUAGCUAGUUGGUGGGGUAAUGGCCCACCAAGGCUUUGAUCGGUAGCCGGCCUGAGAGGGCGCACGGCCACACUGGAACUGAAACACGGUCCAGACUCCUACGGGAGGCAGCAGUGGGGAAUUUUGCGCAAUGGGGGAAACCCUGACGCAGCAACGCCGCGUGGAGGAUGAAGUCCCUUGGGACGUAAACUCCUUUCGACCGGGAAGAUUAUGACGGUACCGGUGGAAGAAGCCCCGGCUAACUUCGUGCC
This 464-nucleotide ribosomal RNA is filed under the name uncultured bacterium. RNAcentral describes it as "bacterial SSU rRNA". It matches the Rfam family "Bacterial small subunit ribosomal RNA", at positions 32 to 509 of the family's 1533-position model. The record is from RNAcentral.